GACGAACGCUGGCGGCGUGCCUAAUACAUGCAAGUAGAACGCACAGUUUAUACCGUAGCUUGCUACACCAUAGACUGUGAGUUGCGAACGGGUGAGUAACGCGUAGGUAACCUGCCUGGUAGCGGGGGAUAACUAUUGGAAACGAUAGCUAAUACCGCAUAAUAUUGAUUAUUGCAUGAUAAUUAAUUGAAAGGUGCAAUUGCACCACUACCAGAUGGACCUGCGUUGUAUUAGCUAGUAGGUGAGGUAACGGCUCACCUAGGCGACGAUACAUAGCCGACCUGAGAGGGUGAUCGGCCACACUGGGACUGAGACACGGCCCAGACUCCUACGGGAGGCAGCAGUAGGGAAUCUUCGGCAAUGGACGAAAGUCUGACCGAGCAACGCCGCGUGAGUGAAGAAGGUUUUCGGAUCGUAAAGCUCUGUUGUAAGAGAAGAACGGGUGUGAGAGUGGAAAGUUCACACUGUGACGGUAUCUUACCGGAAAGGGACGGCUAACUACGUG
Molecule: ribosomal RNA, 505 nt
Filed under: uncultured bacterium
Lineage: Bacteria
Description: partial 16S ribosomal RNA
Rfam family: Bacterial small subunit ribosomal RNA
Source: RNAcentral